UUGUCCAUAAUCUGCAGGUGACAAAAUGUCAGUGAGUGGCAAAACUGAAGCCCAUAGACCUCACGCCUCAGGAUGGGAAAACAGAGAAUAAGACCAAAUAGACUGUGUGGAAUGGUGUUUGUGUUGAGUUUUGGAUCUGGUGCUGACUGAGCAGGUGACUUAGAGAAAAGUUCAGAGGUCCGGAGACAUGGCUACGUGGAACUUGUCAUGGUGCCAAAGAUUAUUAGAAGAGUCUCACAUUACAGUGCUGCCUGGUCUGGAACCAAGCUUCAUGAAAAUUUCAUUACUGUGGUGGAGCCUGCGGUGCACUACCCAGAUGCCAUUUUAUGAUCAAGGCGCUCAUUGCAUCAACAGCAGAAGCCUCACAUCUGAGCAUCUCUUAGAGCAUUCAUUGGCCCCCUGCUGAAGGAAGCUAUCUCACCCUGCAACAAAGGCACACACUGGCUGAUGAUUGAUGGGUGAAGUGGAGAAUUGUGGAGGCUCGGUUUUCUUUGUCAAGCUCAAAACUGCUAUGAAGGUCCUGCCGAGCUGCUCAGCCCAAAUCCAGAGGUUCUGAGGCUUCCAUCGCUAAUGUAUUGAAUGAAGUUCACUUUCUUGUGCCUCUGAUCAGUUUCUCUUAC
Long non-coding RNA from Nannospalax galili (Upper Galilee mountains blind mole rat), 620 nucleotides. RefSeq lists it as uncharacterized. The transcript is spliced from 3 exons. The record is from RefSeq and is a predicted model, not a curated record. NCBI's taxonomy places the organism in Eukaryota, Metazoa, Chordata, Mammalia, Rodentia, Spalacidae.